RNAcentral lists this transfer RNA (72 nucleotides) under Loxodonta africana (African savanna elephant). It matches the Rfam family "tRNA". Rfam says of the family: Transfer RNA (tRNA) molecules are approximately 80 nucleotides in length. Their secondary structure includes four short double-helical elements and three loops (D, anti-codon, and T loops). Lineage: Eukaryota; Metazoa; Chordata; Mammalia; Proboscidea; Elephantidae. The record is from Rfam by way of RNAcentral.
GCCUUCGUGGCUCAAUGGUUAAGUGCUCAGCUGCUAACUGAAAGGUUGGUGGCUUGAACCCACCCAGCAGCU